GUGAAUCAUCAAAUUUUUGAACGCAAAUUGCACUCCCUGGUAUUCCGGGGAGUAUGCCUGUCUUAUUGUCGUUAUAAUAAAAAAUCGAUUCUUCGCUCUUUUUUUUAAGGGUGAUCUCUUCUUAAUUGAUCCGUCUUUCCACUUUUAAUUCAUUUCAAAGUGGCUUGAAAUUCAUCCAUCCGGUACGAUUGACUCUUAUUUAAGAUCAAUUUUGAUUGAGAACUCGCUGUUACGUACCAUCUCAUGUAGUACUUUGUCCCUGGGUCAUCAUUGUCAGUCUUCUCAUAUACUCA
Molecule: unclassified non-coding RNA, 293 nt
Filed under: Glomeraceae sp.
Lineage: Eukaryota; Fungi; Glomeromycota; Glomeromycetes; Glomerales; Glomeraceae
Description: partial internal transcribed spacer 2
Rfam family: 5.8S ribosomal RNA (bases 1-71)
Source: RNAcentral